RNAcentral lists this non-coding RNA (133 nucleotides) under Oxyrrhis marina. The record is from RNAcentral. Lineage: Eukaryota; Dinophyceae; Oxyrrhinales; Oxyrrhinaceae.
GCGGAGGCGUACUACUGCCACUCCGACCUUCAAGUGGCCUCUGCUCGCGAGCGGAUCUGGGCGUUCGGCGACAUAUGGGGGACUGCUCCGCAGUGGACCAACGUGCUGGCUUCGGUCAACCCCGCUCGUGUAU